UACGAAGGGGGCUAGCGUUGUUCGGAAUUACUGGGCGUAAAGCGCACGUAGGCGGAUCGAUCAGUCAGGGGUGAAAUCCCAGGGCUCAACCCUGGAACUGCCUUUGAUACUGUCGAUCUGGAGUAUGGAAGAGGUGAGUGGAAUUCCGAGUGUAGAGGUGAAAUUCGUAGAUAUUCGGAGGAACACAAGUGGCGAAGGCGGCUCACUGGUCCAUUACUGACGCUGAGGUGCGAAAGCGUGGGGAGCAAACAGG
This 253-nucleotide ribosomal RNA is filed under the name uncultured bacterium. RNAcentral's name for it is "partial 16S ribosomal RNA". It matches the Rfam family "Bacterial small subunit ribosomal RNA", at positions 524 to 776 of the family's 1533-position model. The record is from RNAcentral.